This 447-nucleotide ribosomal RNA is filed under the name uncultured bacterium. RNAcentral describes it as "bacterial SSU rRNA". It matches the Rfam family "Bacterial small subunit ribosomal RNA", at positions 330 to 792 of the family's 1533-position model. The record is from RNAcentral.
CCCAGACUCCUACGGGAGGCAGCAGUGGGGGAUAUUGCACAAUGGGGGAAACCCUGAUGCAGCGACGCCGCGUGGGCGAAGAAGUAUUUCGGUAUGUAAAGCCCUAUCAGCAGGGAAGAAGAAAUGACGGUACCUGAGUAAGAAGCACCGGCUAAAUACGUGCCAGCAGCCGCGGUAAUACGUAUGGUGCAAGCGUUAUCCGGAUUUACUGGGUGUAAAGGGAGCGCAGGCGGCACGGCAAGCCUGAUGUGAAGGCCCGCGGCCCAACCGCGGGACUGCAUUGGGAACUACCGGGCUGGAGUGCCGGAGAGGUAGGCGGAAUUCCUAGUGUAGCGGUGAAAUGCGUAGAUAUUAGGAGGAACACCAGUGGCGAAGGCGGCCUACUGGACGGUGACUGACGCUGAGGCUCGAAAGCGUGGGGAGCAAACAGGAUUAGAUGCCCGAGUA